CGCAGUAGGAUAGGCGAAGCGUGCGAUUGGAUUGCACGUCUAAGCAGUAAGGCUGAGUAUUAGGCAAAUCCGGUACUCGUUAAGGCUGAGCUGUGAUGGGGAGAAGACAUUGUGUCUUCGAGUCGUUGAUUUCACACUGCCGAGAAAAGCCUCUAGAUAGAAAAUAGGUGCCCGUACCGCAAACCGACACAGGUAGUCAAGAUGAGAAUUCUAAGGUGAGCGAGCGAACUCUCGUUAAGGAACUCGGCAAAAUGACCCCGUAACUUCGGGAGAAGGGGUGCUCUUUAGGGUUAACGCCCAGAAGAGCCGCAGUGAAUAGGCCCAAGCGACUGUUUAUCAAAAACACAGGUCUCUGCUAAACCGUAAGGUGAUGUAUAGGGGCUGACGCCUGCCCGGUGCUGGAAGGUUAAGAGGAGUGGUUAGCUUCUGCGAAGCUACGAAUCGAAGCCCCAGUAAACGGCGGCCGUAACUAUAACGGUCCUAAGGUAGCGAAAUUCCUUGUCGGGUAAGUUCCGACCCGCACGAAAGGCGUAACGAUUUGGGCACUGUCUCAACGAGAGACUCGGUGAAAUCAUAGUACCUGUGAAGAUGCAGGUUACCCGCGACAGGACGGAAAGACCCCGUGGAGCUUUACUGUAGCCUGAUAUUGAAAUUCGGCACAGCUUGUACAGGAUAGGUAGGAGCCUUUGAAACGUGAGCGCUAGCUUACGUGGAGGCGCUGGUGGGAUACUACCCUAGCUGUGUUGGCUUUCUAACCCGCACCACUUAUCGUGGUGGGAGACAGUGUCAGGCGGGCAGUUUGACUGGGGCGGUCGCCUCCUAAAAGGUAACGGAGGCGCUCAAAGGUUCCCUCAGAAUGGUUGGAAAUCAUUCAUAGAGUGUAAAGGCAUAAGGGAGCUUGACUGCGAGACCUACAAGUCGAGCAGGGUCGAAAGACGGACUUAGUGAUCCGGUGGUUCCGCAUGGAAGGGCCAUCGCUCAACGGAUAAAAGCUACCCCGGGGAUAACAGGCUUAUCUCCCCCAAGAGUUCACAUCGACGGGGAGGUUUGGCACCUCGAUGUCGGCUCAUCGCAUCCUGGGGCUGUAGUCGGUCCCAAGGGUUGGGCUGUUCGCCCAUUAAAGCGGUACGCGAGCUGGGUUCAGAACGUCGUGAGACAGUUCGGUCCCUAUCCGUCGUGGGCGUAGGAAAUUUGAGAGGAGCUGUCCUUAGUACGAGAGGACCGGGAUGGACAUACCUCUGGUGUACCAGUUGUCGUGCCAACGGCAUAGCUGGGUAGCUAUGUGUGGACGGGAUAAGUGCUGAAAGCAUCUAAGCAUGAAGCC
This 1324-nucleotide ribosomal RNA is filed under the name Staphylococcus aureus. RNAcentral's name for it is "partial 23S ribosomal RNA". It matches the Rfam family "Bacterial large subunit ribosomal RNA", at positions 1473 to 2794 of the family's 2925-position model. Lineage: Bacteria; Bacillati; Bacillota; Bacilli; Caryophanales; Staphylococcaceae. The record is from RNAcentral.